GAUGAACGCUAGCGGCAGGCUUAAUACAUGCAAGUCGAGGGGCAGCAGGGUGUAGCAAUACAUCGCUGGCGACCGGCAAACGGGUGCGGAACACGUACGCAACCUUCCUUCAAGUGAGGAAUAGCCCAGGGAAACUUGGAUUAAUACCUCGUAACAUUGUGAAGUGGCAUCACUUUAUAAUUAUAGCUCAGGCGCUUGAAGAUGGGCGUGCGACUGAUUAGGUAGUUGGCGGAGUAACAGCCCACCAAGCCUGCGAUCAGUAACUGGUGUGAGAGCACGACCAGUCACACGGGCACUGAGACACGGGCCCGACUCCUACGGGAGGCAGCAGUAAGGAAUAUUGGUCAAUGGACGCAGUCUGAACC
RNAcentral lists this ribosomal RNA (365 nucleotides) under uncultured bacterium. RNAcentral's name for it is "bacterial SSU rRNA". It matches the Rfam family "Bacterial small subunit ribosomal RNA", at positions 28 to 389 of the family's 1533-position model. The record is from RNAcentral.